GAUGAACGCUGGCGGCGUGCUUAACACAUGCAAGUCGAACGAAGCACUUUACUUUGAGGCCUUCGGGAAGAGAGGUAUUGUGACUGAGUGGCGGACGGGUGAGUAACGCGUGGAUAACCUGCCCCAUACAGGGGGAUAACAGUUAGAAAUGACUGCUAAUACCGCAUAAGACCACGGCACCGCAUGGUGCAGGGGUAAAAACUCCGGUGGUAUGGGAUGGAUCCGCGUCUGAUUAGCUUGUUGGCGGGGUAACGGCCCACCAAGGCGACGAUCAGUAGCCGACCUGAGAGGGUGGCCGGCCACAUUGGGACUGAGACACGGCCCAA
This 326-nucleotide ribosomal RNA is filed under the name uncultured bacterium. RNAcentral's name for it is "bacterial SSU rRNA". It matches the Rfam family "Bacterial small subunit ribosomal RNA", at positions 28 to 334 of the family's 1533-position model. The record is from RNAcentral.